CACUGUGCCAGGUGCCUAGGCAUGGAAGGUGGGGGAGGCACCCAGCCACCACCCCGAAUUGGUAAUACUUGGGCGCAGGGAGCACGAGGCCUUCGUGGUGGUCAGCCAUGGAGGGGCUUACUCUGUCUCCCAUACCCACCAGGGCAUGAAGGCAGGGCUGGAAUGGCAGCCCUAGUUCUGCGUCCCCCCCACUCUUUGGACCUUAUGCAGCUCUACACCCACGUGUCUGAGAACUUGCCACCUUAUGCCCGGCCCCGAUUCCUCAGGCUCCAGGAGUCUUUGGCCACCACAGAGACCUUCAAACAGCAGAAAGUUCGGAUGGCAAAUGACGGCUUCAACCCCAGCACCCUGUCUGACCCACUGUACGUUCUGGACCAGGCUGUAGGUGCCUACCUGCCCCUCACACCUGCCCGGUACAGCGCCCUCCUGGCAGGGAACCUUCGAAUCUGAGACCUUCCACACCUGAGGCACCUAAGGGAGGGACUCUGUGGGGUGGGGGCCGUUGCAGAUGUACUGGGCUGUCAGGGAUCUUUUCUAUACCAGAACUGCGGUCACUAUUUUGUAAUAAAUGU
Molecule: small RNA, 572 nt
Filed under: Pongo abelii (Sumatran orangutan)
Lineage: Eukaryota; Metazoa; Chordata; Mammalia; Primates; Hominidae
Description: retained intron
Source: RNAcentral